AGAGUUUGAUUCCUGGCUCAGACGAAACGCGGGCGGGCGUGCCUAAAUACAUGCAAGUUCGAGCGAGCUUGCCUAGAUGGAUUUUAGUGCUUGCACUAAAUGAAACUAGAUACAAGCGAGCGGCGGACGGGUGAGUAACACGUGGGUAACCUGCCCAAGAGACUGGGAUAACACCUGGAAACAGAUGCUAAAACCGGAUAACAACACUAGACGCAUGUCUAGAGUUUGAAAGAUGGUUCUGCUAUCACUCUUGGAUGGACCUGCGGUGCAUUAGCUAGUUGGUAAGGUAACGGCUUACCAAGGCAAUGAUGCAUAGCCGAGUUGAGAGACUGAUCGGCCACAUUAGGACUGAGACACGGCCCAAACUCCUACGGGAGGCAGCAGUAGGGAAUCUUCCACAAUGGACGAAAGUCUGAUGGAGCAACGCCGCGUGAGUGAAGAAGGGUUUCGGCUCGUAAAGCUCUGUUGGUAGUGAAGAAAGAUAGAGGUAGUAACUGGCCUUUAUUUGACGGUAAUUACUUAGAAAGUCACGGCUAACUACGUGCCAGCAGCCGCGGUAAUACGUAGGUGGCAAGCGUUGUCCGGAUUUAUUGGGCGUAAAGCGAGUGCAGGCGGUUCAAUAAGUCUGAUGUGAAAGCCUUCGGCUCAACCGGAGAAUUGCAUCAGAAACUGUUGAACUUGAGUGCAGAAGAGGAGAGUGGAACUCCAUGUGUAGCGGUGGAAUGCGUAGAUAUAUGGAAGAACACCAGUGGCGAAGGCGGCUCUCUGGUCUGCAACUGACGCUGAGGCUCGAAAGCAUGGGUAGCGAACAGGAUUAGAUACCCUGGUAGUCCAUGCCGUAAA
This 843-nucleotide ribosomal RNA is filed under the name uncultured bacterium. RNAcentral describes it as "bacterial SSU rRNA". It matches the Rfam family "Bacterial small subunit ribosomal RNA", at positions 8 to 806 of the family's 1533-position model. The record is from RNAcentral.